GUGGGUAACCUACCUAUAAGACUGGGAUAACUUCGGGAAACCGGAGCUAAUACCGGAUAAUAUUUCGAACCACAUGGUUCGAUAGUGAAAGAUGGCUUUGCUAUCACUUAUAGAUGGACCUGCGCCGUAUUAGCUAGUUGGUAAGGUAACGGCUUACCAAGGCAACGAUACGUAGCCGACCUGAGAGGGUGAUCGGCCACACUGGAACUGAGACACGGUCCAGACUCCUACGGGAGGCAGCAGUAGGGAAUCUUCCGCAAUGGGCGAAAGCCUGACGGAGCAACGCCGCGUGAGUGAUGAAGGUCUUCGGAUCGUAAAACUCUGUUAUUAGGGAAGAACAAACGUGUAAGUAACUGUGCACGUCUUGACGGUACCUAAUCAGAAAGCCACGGCUAACUACGUGCCAGCAGCCGCGGUAAUACGUAGGUGGCAAGCGUUAUC
RNAcentral lists this ribosomal RNA (441 nucleotides) under Staphylococcus sp. F44. Its description in RNAcentral is "bacterial SSU rRNA". It matches the Rfam family "Bacterial small subunit ribosomal RNA", at positions 117 to 545 of the family's 1533-position model. Lineage: Bacteria; Bacillati; Bacillota; Bacilli; Caryophanales; Staphylococcaceae. The record is from RNAcentral.